GAUGAACGCUGACAGAAUGCUUAACACAUGCAAGUCAACUUGAACUUCGGUUUGGGUGGCGGACGGGUGAGUAACGCGUAAAGAACUUGCCUCACAGCUAGGGACAACAUUUGGAAACGAACGCUAAUACCUGAUAUUAUGAUUAUAUGGCAUCGUAUAAUUAUGAAAGCUAUAUGCGCUGUGAGAGAGCUUUGCGUCCCAUUAGCUAGUUGGAGAGGUAACAGCUCACCAAGGCGAUGAUGGGUAGCCGGCCUGAGAGGGUGAUCGGCCACAAGGGGACUGAGACACGGCCCUUACUCCUACGGGAGGCAACAGUGGGGAAUAUUGGACAAUGGACCGAGAGUCUGAUCCAGUAAUUCUGUGUGCACGAUGAAGUUUUUCGGAAUGUAAAGUGCUUUCAGUUGGGAAGAAAAAAAUGACGGUACCAACAGAAGAAGUGACGGCUAAAUACGUG
Molecule: ribosomal RNA, 454 nt
Filed under: uncultured bacterium
Lineage: Bacteria
Description: partial 16S ribosomal RNA
Rfam family: Bacterial small subunit ribosomal RNA
Source: RNAcentral